AAAUUACUCUUUCCUUGAGUGGGAAUAAGAUUUUGGCUUUUCAUUUAAUAUUAUUACAAAUCCAAACCAAACAAGGACAGGUGGCAAAGUAAGAUGGAUUUUAUAUCCUACCGAUGUGUACUUAUCACUCCUCCCAUGCCUCGCAUUGCCGUCUAUAAAAGUUUGUCCCUUCUCAAGCACAGCGCGUCUGUUAAUUCAAUCAUCAAUUACCUUUUGGAUCCAUAGAUUUUUCUAGGGUUUUUAAAUUCACUGUUUAACCUCUAAACCCCACAUAACAGAAUUUCAAAUUUUUAAAAAAUAUUCUAUUUACGAACAAGCCCCUUGCAUUGGGGUUUAUUUCUCGGCGAGCCAAUCGGAUUUUAUUGUAGCGGUUGUUUGCUCAAUUUCUGCUUCUUCAAUGCUGGAAAUCUUCCGGAAGCGCUAGAGUUGAACGCAAACUCGAAGAAUCAUUACUGAUAAAAUACGAGUAGUCGGUGAUUGAUGCGAACUUUUGGGAAUAUUUGGAAUACAAUGUGGAGUCUGGCUACAAUAGUAGGAGCAGAUAAGUGAUAUGAGGAGUUGAAUAUGAGCGAUGGAGGUGGGGAGAGUGGAAGUAAGCAUGAACAACUACGCACAAAGAGAAAAUUUGGUGGCGAUGACUUUGCCCAAGCAAUUGCCAAGAUUGCUGUAGCACAGGUAUGCGAGAGAGUGGGUUUUCAGACUUUUCAACAGUCUGCUCUUGGAACAUUGUCUGAAAUUGCUGUGCGAUAUGUGCAUAAUAUUGGAGAGGCUGCCCAUUUCUAUGCAAAUUUAGCUGGUAGAACUGAGGUUAAUGCUUUUGAUAUCUUUCAAGGAUUAGAAGAGUUGGGAUCAACACAAGGGUUUUCAGGUGCUUCUGAUAUUGAUCACUGUCUUACUAGUUCAGGUGUAGUUCGGGAGCUUAUUCAGUAUGUUAAUGAAGUUCAGGACAUCCCAUUGGUGUAUUCUAUACCACGUUUCCCAGUUGUUAAAGAUCGAAAACCAACAUCCAGUUUCUUGCAAAUUGGAGAGGAGCCUCCUGAUGAACACAUUCCACCUUGGCUGCCUGCUUUCCCUGAUCCCCAAACUUAUCUUCAAUUGCCCACUCAGAAUGAGAAGGAAACUGAUUCUGAAACUGAGAAGAUUGAGCUGGGAAGGCAGCAGAGAAAGAUGGAAAUGUCUAUGUUGAAUUUGCAGCAGCAAUUUUCCGGCAAUGGACCACAAGGACCUUCCUUAUUUGCCCAUAGAGACAAUUCUAAGGAUAAACAGGCAGCAGAAAGUAAUCCAUUUCUUUCUGCUCUCCUGCAUUUUGAGGAGAAGGAAGUAGGUUCUGUGCCUAUUCCUGCUAAGCUUUCAAAGGAAGUAGCUUCCGAAAAUCCUGUUGCAGAAAACCGUGGGGUGUUUAAUCACAUUUCAGUGCUGCAGACAUUUUCACCAGCUAUUGAAGCAAUGAAGAAUAAGUUGUGUAAUUCCGAGGAGGAACAGGAAAAGCUUCUUAUGAACCAGAGGCCUGCUGUGCAAUUUAAGAUUGGACUUGGAAAGAAGUCAUUGGGUAAACCACUUAAAUUGGGUCCACAGCACAGGGAUGCUGAGAUGAUUUCUGCUUGGUUUUGCAAGGAUGAUGAGAAGGAUGAGAAGAAAAGGCGAGCUGGAAAAAUACUGAAGGACUCUAUGGAAAACACUCAGGAAUUAGCUCAGUUGUAAAAUAGUUUAUUUUUAUUAGAGUUUGUAUACUUAUCUAGGAAACUUGGAUUCAGCUUACUUAAAGACAAGGACAUAUGAUUUUCUGCAUAUGAACCUUUUAGAAUGGAUUUACAAACUGCUAGAGGGAAAUGCAAUUACUCUAACAAGUUAUUGAGCUACUUGUCUCAGCUCAGCCAGGGAGAAAAGGUUAAGAAAUGGAAAAACAAAGUUAUGCAUGAAAUCUUCAUAUGUCGGUGAUCGGUCAAUGAGAUUCUGUUAGGGCUCAGGUAUACGUGAGGAAGAAGGAUAGGAAGAAAGUAGGAGGGACAAAUGGAGAUGACUCAAGAGGGAUAAUGAAGAUGUACCAGGUUAAGAGUAACAUAGCUGAUAAGGGUCAUUCUAAAGUUAUGCAAUUGGUAGGAGGGUGUUCAGAGUUGCACGCACCGAUUCCACAUCAAAUCAAGGGGAGAGCAGCAUCCUUCCAACAGAAGGUGGGGUCCACCAUUACACUCAAGUCUGACAUGGCAGCUCAGGGGAGAGGCAGCAAGGAAGAGUGGGAGAAGGCUGUUAUAAUGGAAGAGAAGGGGCCAAGAAAAGGGAGGGAAAAUCAGUUAGAAAAAAAUGAGGGACCAGCCUUGGGAAAGCUGGUAGGGUCUUUGUAGCGUUUUGGCAUCACUGAGAAUUGGGGUUCAUAGAUGAGUGGGAUGUUGCUCAUCAAUUUAGUAAUGCAAUAGAGGAGUUUGUAAUAAUUGAAUUGAAAUUGUUGAACAAUAUUCAAUAAAAAUUUCUGUUUCAAUUGUGUCUCA
Molecule: RNA transcript, 2486 nt
Organism: Mangifera indica (mango)
Lineage: Eukaryota; Viridiplantae; Streptophyta; Magnoliopsida; Sapindales; Anacardiaceae
Gene name: transcription initiation factor TFIID subunit 8-like
Exons: 3
Source: RefSeq, a predicted model, not a curated record